This 786-nucleotide ribosomal RNA is filed under the name uncultured bacterium. Its description in RNAcentral is "bacterial SSU rRNA". It matches the Rfam family "Bacterial small subunit ribosomal RNA", at positions 707 to 1504 of the family's 1533-position model. The record is from RNAcentral.
UACCAAUUGCGAAGGCAGCUUUCUGGAUCAUUACUGACACUGAGGAACGAAAGCAUGGGUAGCGAAGAGGAUUAGAUACCCUCGUAGUCCAUGCCGUAAACGAUGUGUGUUAGACGUUGGAAAUUUAUUUUCAGUGUCGCAGGGAAACCGAUAAACACACCGCCUGGGGAGUACGACCGCAAGGUUAAAACUCAAAUGAAUUGACGGGGACCCGCACAAGUAGUGGAGCAUGUGGUUUAAUUCGAAGAUACGCGCAGAACCUUACCAACACUUGACAUGUUCGUCGCGACUCUAAGAGAUUAGAGUUUUCGGUUCGGCCGGACGAAACACAGGUGCUGCAUGGCUGUCGUCAGCUCGUGUCGUGAGAUGUUGGGUUAAGUCCCGCAACGAGCGCAACCCUCACUUUUAGUUGCCAUCAUUAAGUUGGGCACUCUGAAAGAACUGCCAGUGAUAAGCUGGAGGAAGGUGGGGAUGACGUCAAGUCCUCAUGGCCCUUACGUGUUGGGCUACACACGUGCUACAAUGGCAUCUACAACAGGAAGCAAAACGGCAACGUUAAGCAAAUCCCGAAAAGAUGCCUCAGUUCGGAUUGCACCCUGCAACUCGAGUGCAUGAAGCUGGAAUUACUAGUAAUCGUGGAUCAGCGUGCCACGGUGAAUGCGUUCCCGGGUCUUGUACACACCGCCCGUCACACCAUGGGAGUUGGUUCUACCUUAAGGCAAGGUUUUAAACCCUUGACCACGGUAUAGUCAGCGACUGGGGUGAAGUCGUAACAAGGUAACCGUA